UUAAUUCAUAUGGUUAACAUUUGUUUUUUUUAAUGAUGAAACUUGAAUUAAUUAUAUAUUUAACGUUGUGGUUUUUUUUUAAUAAAAGUGACUGCGUUCGUUCUAUGUUUCAGCGUGUGUCCCACCAUCCGUUUUGGAAUCGAUGCUCCAUCCAUUAAGCCUUGGAUGACAUAUCACGUAUGGUACUUGGGCCGGAGCAGUGUCCAGGGAACCGGUAGUGUCACACCUUGCAACUCGAAGUGAUACCUCUUGCAACCUGAACGAUGCUCCAUAAGUGGCAUUUGCAAUGCCUGAAGGCCGCAUAUACCUGUCUUCCAAUUAGGCACUUUUGGCCCUGUGUGACAACGUAAUGAUGAGACAAUCGGUAACACCUCGCUGAUGACACAAUGACUUGAUUGCUUAACUGGUUCAGGCCUUUUCAC
Long non-coding RNA from Mya arenaria, 422 nucleotides. RefSeq lists it as uncharacterized. NCBI's taxonomy places the organism in Eukaryota, Metazoa, Mollusca, Bivalvia, Myida, Myidae. The record is from RefSeq and is a predicted model, not a curated record. The transcript is spliced from 3 exons.